CUCCCCAGGCCUCGGCUCCCAGGGUGGAGGGAGGCUGGCCCUGGUCCCCUGCACCUGCUCUGUCGGGGAACGGUGGCAGAGGGGCCUGAGCAUGUGGACACAGGGCCAGGGAGCGAGGGGCGGGCUGGCUGCCUCCCGGGACCAGCAAAUGGCUCUGGAGGGGUGGGACCGCUUGCUCUGGCCCCGCUGUCCCCGCUCAUCCCCGUGAGGCAGUGGCCCUGUGUCCGGCUCUGUGGGCCCCGAGGCUGGGCCUGGAGGGCUUCGUCGCCUCCUGCAGCUGGCUGUCCCCUGGAACCAGCCUCACUCGGGUCGUCACGGGCCCAGGACUAACAGGUAGGAGAGUCCAACACGGAGCAAAGCAGCCAGCCACAGCCCGAGGGCCCUCCUGCCCAGCAGGCCCAGCCUCUGUGGGCCUGGGAGGGCCCUGCUGAGUUGAACAGAGAGGGCAGCGAGGGCGGCAAAGGGACACUGUGCAAGGCCCAGCGGGCGGCUGCGGCCAACGCCGGACGGCACAGGGAGGGAGACCAGAGGUGACCACACUGCCGUCCUCAGAACAGCGGGGAGACCCGAGAUCCUGAGUCAGCCUGGUCACCCAGCCUGGACCCGAUGCCUCAGCACCCCAGCCUCCUGGAGGGCUCUGGCCGGGAGGCCCCGGGCAGCAGUCCUUGAGGCCGUUGCUCUUGGGCCUUCCCAGCCCCUCCUCUCUGGGCUGGGACGGGGGCUCCGUGGGAGGACCCAGCAGGGCCGGCCUGGGGAAGGCCCACGGAGUCUCCCCUCCCUGAGGAGCAGCCCCGAUGCUCUGAGCCCUGGAGGAGGUCACAGGGACGGGCCUGGACAUCAGGAGCAGGUACAGAUGCGGAUGAGCCACCUCCCCCUGGACCUCCAGGGCUGUGGCCGUAGGUGACGGUCAGCAGGGGACGAGCCUGUGUCUCCACAGGAGUGGCACUGGACCAGCUGUGGGCCGUCGGCCAGGGUGAACACGUGGCUCCUGGGGAGCAGCAGGUGCUGUG
RNAcentral lists this long non-coding RNA (1010 nucleotides) under Marmota monax (woodchuck). Lineage: Eukaryota; Metazoa; Chordata; Mammalia; Rodentia; Sciuridae. The record is from RNAcentral.